CAAGCGAAUGGUGAAAUCUAACGGCUCAACCGUUCAGACUAUUAUUCGAACUGCAUAACUCGAGAAUGGUAGAGGUAGCUGGAAUUUCUAGUGUAGGAGUGAAAUCCGUAGAUAUUAGAAGGAACACCAAUGGCGUAGGCAGGCUACUGGACCAUUUCUGACACUAAGGCACGAAAGCGUGGGAGCGAACCGGAUUAGAUACCCGGGUAGUCCACGCCGUAAACUAUGGAUACUA
RNAcentral lists this ribosomal RNA (235 nucleotides) under uncultured Candidatus Saccharibacteria bacterium. RNAcentral's name for it is "partial 16S ribosomal RNA". It matches the Rfam family "Bacterial small subunit ribosomal RNA", at positions 584 to 818 of the family's 1533-position model. The record is from RNAcentral. Lineage: Bacteria; Candidatus Saccharimonadota.